Oreochromis niloticus (Nile tilapia) is the source of this 816-nucleotide long non-coding RNA. RefSeq lists it as uncharacterized. The record is from RefSeq and is a predicted model, not a curated record. The transcript has 4 exons. Lineage: Eukaryota; Metazoa; Chordata; Actinopteri; Cichliformes; Cichlidae.
AGGAAUACGCACGGUUAUGUGUGUUUCCUGGAGUGCAAGUGAGAGAGAGAAGCAUAUUAAAGGGAUACAAAAGCACACAACAGAACAUUUGACACCUUGUCUGAACAUGAAAAUUGGUUGGGUGGAGAGCAAAAACCACGAUGCAGAGUGGGGAACAACUUAGGGAGAGAGAAGGUGAGAAAGAGGGAGCCGAAGGCAGGAGGGGGGAGACUAUUACCUAAGGUGUCUGACUAAAUUAACUUCUCAUCAUCACUAAUUAGCCCCUUGUUCCUCUGUUCCCUCCAGGUUUGCUGACCCUUUCAACAAGCACAGUGCCCAAUCUGGAACUGAAAAAUGACUGCAGCCAUAGCUAACCAUCCAAAAGCUACAAGAUACAACUGCAAAUAAGGAUGCUGCAGAGAGGAGACAUGAAAGUGAGGCAGAACAACACACAGGAAAUGGUCUGAGGUGGACUCAAACCCAGGCCCCUACAGCGAGGGCUCCAGCCUUCAGUAUAGGACGGGUCUCCAGCUAAACCAGGUGUACUCACAUGAGAUCGGGUCUGUGUUUGUGGAUGAGGGCGCAGAAAGCCAGUCCGUCCCUGAAGGACGUGGUCAUGUUGGUGAUGGAGACAUCCCGGUAGCCCUCACACUGGAUCCGGCACCACUGCUGCAGAGCCUUCACGGCCGCCAUCCCAGAGCUCGGAGCCGGACUGAUCCGUGUGAUCCACGCUGGAAGCGCUCACAGAGCUCCCUCCUUUCUUCGCUCCUCAGCGUCCAACAAGUAAAACUUGAAAAACUUUCCACAGAAGCCCAGACUGACGCCUUAUCCGGGAAA